AGCGCACACGGUGGAUGCCUUGGCGGUCAGAGGCGAUGAAGGACGUGGCAGCCUGCGAAAAGUAUCGGGGAGCUGGCAACAAGCUUUGAUCCGGUAAUGUCCGAAUGGGGAAACCCACCCGCUUGCGGGUAUCCUGCAGUGAAUACAUAGCUGCUGGAAGCGAACCUGGUGAACUGAAAUAUCUAAGUAACCAGAGGAAAAGAAAUCAACCGAGAUUCCGUAAGUAGCGACGAGCGAACGCGGACUAGCCCUUAAGCUGAUUUGGUUCUAGGAAAACGCUCUGGAAAGAGCGGCCAUAGAAGGUGAUAGCCCUGUAUCUGAAAGGGCCAUUUCAGUGAAGACGAGUAGGGCGGGGCACGUGAAACCCUGUCUGAACAUGGGGGGACCAUCCUCCAAGGCUAAAUACUACUGACCGACCGAUAGUGAACCAGUACCGUGAGGGAAAGGCGAAAAGAACCCCGGAGAGGGGAGUGAAAUAGAACCUGAAACCGUGUGCGUACAAGCAGUAGGAGCUCCGCAAGGAGUGACUGCGUACCUUUUGUAUAAUGGGUCAGCGACUUACUGUUCGUGGCAAGCUUAACCGUAUAGGGGAGGCGAAGGGAAACCGAGUCUGAUAAGGGCGCAUAGUCGCGGGCAGUAGACCCGAAACCGGGUGAUCUAGUCAUGCCCAGGGUGAAGGUGCGGUAACACGCACUGGAGGCCCGAACCCACUCCCGUUGCAAAGGUAGGGGAUGAGGUGUGAUUAGGAGUGAAAAGCUAAUCGAACCCGGAGAUAGCUGGUUCUCCUCGAAAGCUAUUUAGGUAGCGCCUCAUAUGUAUCCUCUCGGGGGUAGAGCACUGUUAUGGCUAGGGGGUCAUCGCGACUUACCAAACCAUUGCAAACUCCGAAUACCGAGACGGACUGUAUGGGAGACACACGGCGGGUGCUAACGUCCGUCGUGAAAAGGGAAACAACCCAGACCCACAGCUAAGGUCCCAAAUUCACUGCUAAGUGGAAAACCAUGUGGAAAGGCACAGACAGCCAGGAGGUUGGCUUAGAAGCAGCCACCCUUUAAAGAAAGCGUAAUAGCUCACUGGUCGAGUCGGUCUGCGGGGAAGAUUUAACGGGGCUAAGCAGUGAACCGAAGCUUGGGGUGCAUAACUUUGUUAUGCGCGGUAGAGGAGCGUUCCGUAAGCCGUUGAAGGUGGAUUGAGAAGUCUGCUGGAGGUAUCGGAAGUGCGAAUGCUGACAUGAGUAACGAUAAUGCGGGUGAAAAACCCGCACGCCGAAAGCCCAAGGUUUCCUUGCGCAACGUUAAUCGGCGCAGGGUGAGUCGGCCCCUAAGGCGAGGACGAAAGUCGUAGUCGAUGGGAAGCAGGUUAAUAUUCCUGCACCUCGCGUAAGUGCGAUGGAGGGACGGAGAAGGUUAGGUGUACCAGGCGUUGGUUGUCCUGGGGAAAGGCGGUAGGUUUGGAUCUUUGGCAAAUCCGGGAUCCUUUAAGACCGAGCACCGAGACGAGCCUUUAUGGCGAAGUCACUGAUACCACGCUUCCAGGAAAAGCUCCUAAGCUUCAGCUUACGCAGACCGUACCGUAAACCGACACAGGUGGGUAGGAUGAGAAUUCUCAGGCGCUUGAGAGAACUCGGGUGAAGGAACUAGGCAACAUGGCACCGUAACUUCGGGAGAAGGUGCACCCUUUUUGGUGGCUCGUGCGAGCUAUAGCUGAAGAGGGUCGCAGUAACCAGGCCGCUGCGACUGUUUAUCAAAAACACAGCACUCUGCAAACACGAAAGUGGACGUAUAGGGUGUGACGCCUGCCCGGUGCUGGAAGGUUAAUUGAUGGGGUCAGCCGCAAGGCGAAGCUCUUGAUCGAAGCCCCAGUAAACGGCGGCCGUAACUAUAACGGUCCUAAGGUAGCGAAAUUCCUUGUCGGGUAAGUUCCGACCUGCACGAAUGGCGUAACGACAGCGGCGCUGUCUCCACCCGAGACUCAGUGAAAUUGAAAUCGCUGUGAAGAUGCAGCGUUCCCGUGGCAAGACGGAAAGACCCCGUGAACCUUUACUAUAGCUUUACACUGAACGUUGAGUUCGUCUGUGUAGGAUAGGUGGGAGGCUAUGAAACCAUGGCGCUAGCUGUGGUGGAGCCAUCCUUGAAAUACCACCCUGUCGUGCUUGACGUUCUAACCUGGGCCCAUUAUCUGGGUCGGGGACCGUGUAUGGUGGGUAGUUUGACUGGGGCGGUCUCCUCCUAAAGAGUAACGGAGGAGUACGA
RNAcentral lists this ribosomal RNA (2252 nucleotides) under metagenome. RNAcentral describes it as "bacterial LSU rRNA". It matches the Rfam family "Bacterial large subunit ribosomal RNA", at positions 14 to 2313 of the family's 2925-position model. The record is from RNAcentral.